Molecule: ribosomal RNA, 757 nt
Filed under: uncultured bacterium
Lineage: Bacteria
Description: bacterial SSU rRNA
Rfam family: Bacterial small subunit ribosomal RNA
Source: RNAcentral
AGUCAGAUGUGAAAUCCCCGGGCUCAACCUGGGAACUGCAUCUGAUACUGUUGAGCUAGAGUAUGUGAGAGGAAGGUAGAAUUCCAGGUGUAGCGGUGAAAUGCGUAGAGAUCUGGAGGAAUACCGAUGGCGAAGGCAGCCUUCUGGCAUAAUACUGACACUGAGGCUCGAAAGCGUGGGUAGCAAACAGGAUUAGAUACCCUGGUAGUCCACGCCGUAAACGAUGUCUACUAGUCGUUGGGUCCCUUGAGGACUUAGUGACGCAGCUAACGCAAUAAGUAGACCGCCUGGGGAGUACGGCCGCAAGGUUAAAACUCAAAUGAAUUGACGGGGGCCCGCACAAGCGGUGGAGCAUGUGGUUUAAUUCGAUGCAACGCGAAGAACCUUACCUGGUCUUGACAUAUCUAGAAUCCUGCAGAGAUGCGGGAGUGCCUUCGGGAAUUAGAAUACAGGUGCUGCAUGGCUGUCGUCAGCUCGUGUCGCGAGAUGUUGGGUUAAGUCCCGCAACGAGCGCAACCCUUGUCCUUAGUUACCAGCGGGUUAAGCCGGGAACUCUAAGGAUACUGCCAGUGACAAACUGGAGGAAGGCGGGGACGACGUCAAGUCAUCAUGGCCCUUACGACCAGGGCUACACACGUGCUACAAUGGUAGGUACAGAGGGCAGCUACACAGCGAUGUGAUGCGAAUCUCAAAAAGCCUAUCGUAGUCCAGAUUGGAGUCUGCAACUCGACUCCAUGAAGUAGGAAUCGCUAGUAAU